AGCAGCCGCGGUAAUUCCAGCUCCAAUAGCGUAUAUUAAAGUUGCUGCAGUUAAAAAGCUCGUAGUUGAAUUUCGGGAUCAAUAUGUUGGUCGUGCCUCGGUACGUACUAGCUUAUUGGUUUCUUCCUUCUGACGAACCAUAAUGUCAUUUAUUUGGUGUUAUGGGGAAUCAGGACUGUUACUUUGAAAAAUUAGAGUGUUUAAAGCAGGCUCACGCUUGAAUACAUUAGCAUGGAAUAAUGAAAUAGGACGUUUGAUUCUAUUUUGUUGGUUUCUAGGAUCGACGUAAUGAUUAAUAGGGAUAGUUGGGGGCAUUAGUAUUCAAUUGUCAGAGGUGAAAUUCUUGGAUUUAUUGAAGACUAACUACUGCGAAAGCAUUCGCCAAGGAUGUUUUCAUUAAAUCAAGAACGAAAGUUAGGGGACCGAAGACGAUCAGAUACCGUCGUAGUCUUAACCAUAAAACUAUGCCGACUAGGGAUCGGAUGAUGUUAAUUUUUAAUGUACUCAUUCGGCGCCUUAC
This 520-nucleotide unclassified non-coding RNA is filed under the name uncultured Glomus. RNAcentral describes it as "SSU rRNA". It matches the Rfam family "Eukaryotic small subunit ribosomal RNA", at positions 569 to 1091 of the family's 1831-position model. The record is from RNAcentral. Lineage: Eukaryota; Fungi; Glomeromycota; Glomeromycetes; Glomerales; Glomeraceae.